UAUGAACCGUCCAAACGUUAUUCGGAAUUACUGGGCUUAAAGGGUUCGUAGGCGGCCUUGUAAGUGGGGUGUGAAAUCCCUCGGCUCAACCGAGGAAUAGCGCUCCAAACUGCAAGGCUUGAGGGAGACAGGGGUAAGCGGAACUGAUGGUGGAGCGGUGAAAUGCGUUGAUAUCAUCAGGAACACCGGUGGCGAAAGCGGCUUACUGGGUCUCUUCUGACGCUGAGGAACGAAAGCUAGGGUAGCGAACGGG
This 253-nucleotide ribosomal RNA is filed under the name uncultured bacterium. RNAcentral describes it as "partial 16S ribosomal RNA". It matches the Rfam family "Bacterial small subunit ribosomal RNA", at positions 524 to 776 of the family's 1533-position model. The record is from RNAcentral.